Molecule: ribosomal RNA, 497 nt
Filed under: uncultured bacterium
Lineage: Bacteria
Description: partial 16S ribosomal RNA
Rfam family: Bacterial small subunit ribosomal RNA
Source: RNAcentral
GAUGAACGCUGGCGGCGUGCCUAAUACAUGCAAGUCGAGCGAACAGACGAGGAGCUUGCUCCUCUGACGUUAGCGGCGGACGGGUGAGUAACACGUGGAUAACCUACCUAUAAGACUGGGAUAACUUCGGGAAACCGGAGCUAAUACCGGAUAAUAUAUUGAACCGCAUGGUUCAAUAGUGAAAGACGGUUUUGCUGUCACUUAUAGAUGGAUCCGAGCCGCAUUAGCUAGUUGGUAAGGUAACGGCUUACCAAGGCAACGAUGCGUAGCCGACCUGAGAGGGUGAUCGGCCACACUGGAACUGAGACACGGUCCAGACUCCUACGGGAGGCAGCAGUAGGGAAUCUUCCGCAAUGGGCGAAAGCCUGACGGAGCAACGCCGCGUGAGUGAUGAAGGUCUUCGGAUCGUAAAACUCUGUUAUUAGGGAAGAACAAAUGUGUAAGUAACUAUGCACGUCUUGACGGUACCGAAUCAGAAAGCCACGGCUAACUACGUG